RNAcentral lists this ribosomal RNA (293 nucleotides) under uncultured bacterium. RNAcentral describes it as "partial 16S ribosomal RNA". It matches the Rfam family "Archaeal small subunit ribosomal RNA", at positions 455 to 747 of the family's 1478-position model. The record is from RNAcentral.
GUGCCAGCCGCCGCGGUAAUACCGGCAGCCCGAGUGAUGGCCGAUAUUAUUGGGCCUAAAGCGUCCGUAGCUGGCCGACCAAGUCUCCCGGGAAAUCCACCCGCCCAACGGGUGGGCGUCCGGUAGAAACUGGCCGGCUUGGAACCGGAAGGCUCAGAGAGUACGUCCGGGGUAGGAGUGAAAUCCCGUAAUCCCGGACGGACUACCGAUGGCGAAAGCACUCUGAGAAAACGGAUCCGACAGUGAGGGACGAAAGCCAGGGUCUCCAACCGGAUUAGAUACCCUAGUAGUCC